AUUGAACGCUGGCGGCAGGCCUAACACAUGCAAGUCGAACGGAUCCUUCGGGAUUAGUGGCGGACGGGUGAGUAACGCGUGGGAACAUACCCAAAGGUACGGAAUAGCCUCGGGAAACUGGGAGUAAUACCGUAUGUGCUCGAAAGAGGAAAGAUUUAUCGCCUUUGGAUUGGCCCGCGUUGGAUUAGGUAGUUGGUGGGGUAAUGGCCUACCAAGCCGACGAUCCAUAGCUGGUUUGAGAGGAUGAUCAGCCACACUGGGACUGAGACACGGCCCAGACUCCUACGGGAGGCAGCAGUGGGGAAUCUUAGACAAUGGGGGAAACCCUGAUCUAGCCAUGCCGCGUGAUCGAUGAAGGCCUUAGGGUUGUAAAGAUCUUUCAGGUGGGAAGAUAAUGACUGUACCACCAGAAGAAGCCCCGGCUAACUACGUGCCAGCAGCCGCCGUAA
Molecule: ribosomal RNA, 449 nt
Filed under: uncultured bacterium
Lineage: Bacteria
Description: partial 16S ribosomal RNA
Rfam family: Bacterial small subunit ribosomal RNA
Source: RNAcentral